Molecule: transfer RNA, 74 nt
Filed under: Podarcis lilfordi (Lilford's wall lizard)
Lineage: Eukaryota; Metazoa; Chordata; Lepidosauria; Squamata; Lacertidae
Description: tRNA.Lys
Rfam family: tRNA (bases 6-63)
About the family: Transfer RNA (tRNA) molecules are approximately 80 nucleotides in length. Their secondary structure includes four short double-helical elements and three loops (D, anti-codon, and T loops).
Source: RNAcentral
UUGGAUAUCUCAGUUGGUAGAGCAUGAGACUCUUAAUCUCAGGGUUGAGGGUUCGAGACCCACAUUGGGCAAAU